GCCCAGGUGGUGAAAUCGGUAAACACAGGGGACUUAAAAUCCCCCGGGGAAACCCUUGCGGGUUCGAGUCCCGCCCUGGGCACCA
This 85-nucleotide transfer RNA is filed under the name Armatimonadota bacterium. RNAcentral's name for it is "Armatimonadetes bacterium tRNA-Leu". It matches the Rfam family "tRNA". From Rfam's summary of the family: Transfer RNA (tRNA) molecules are approximately 80 nucleotides in length. RNAcentral also lists the same sequence under 1 other name. Lineage: Bacteria; Bacillati; Armatimonadota. The record is from RNAcentral.